GACGAACGCUGGCGGCGUGCCUAAUACAUGCAAGUUGAGCGCUGAAGGUUGGUACUUGUACCGACUGGAUGAGCAGCGAACGGGUGAGUAACGCGUGGGGAAUCUGCCUUUGAGCGGGGGACAACAUUUGGAAACGAAUGCUAAUACCGCAUAAAAACUUUAAACACAAGUUUUAAGUUUGAAAGAUGCAAUUGCAUCACUCAAAGAUGAUCCCGCGUUGUAUUAGCUAGUUGGUGAGGUAAAGGCUCACCAAGGCGAUGAUACAUAGCCGACCUGAGAGGGUGAUCGGCCACAUUGGGACUGGGACACGGCCCAAACUCCUACGGGAGGCAGCAGUAGGGAAUCUUCGGCAAGGGACGAAAGUCUGACCGAGCAACGCCGCGUGAGAGAAGAAGGUUUUCGGAUCGUAAAACUCUGUUGGUAGAGAAGAACGUUGGUGAGAGUGGAAAGCUCAUCAAGUGACGGUAACUACCCAGAAAGGGACGGCUAACUACGUG
RNAcentral lists this ribosomal RNA (497 nucleotides) under uncultured bacterium. Its description in RNAcentral is "partial 16S ribosomal RNA". It matches the Rfam family "Bacterial small subunit ribosomal RNA", at positions 28 to 507 of the family's 1533-position model. The record is from RNAcentral.